AUAUUGUUUUGGCGUUGGUGUUUUGGUGUUGGUGUUUUGGUGUUGAUGGAUUUAGGUGAGAAUACCUUGAAUCCCUUCUGAGUUUGUCAGGUGGGCAUUCUCGUGGCAAAUAAUGAGGGAUAAAUUACCCUAGGGAGCAAGACCCAAGAACAGUUAGAGCUCUAGUCUGGCGCCAUCUAGUACUCAUGACUGGGGAAAAUCCUGCAGGUGGUAGAGACGGUGAGCAGGAGAAUUAAGGUGAGGAGCAGGAGGCUCAUUGGUGGAUCCACAGACUGUAAAGUGUGGUGUGAGAGUGUUGGUGAGUGUUAGACUUCCGCUGUGUGAAAUAAGCUCUGAGGAGCAUAUUAUGUAAAAUGAUGAUUGUUCAUUUAUGUUGUGAGUUUGUAAUGUAAUAUUUGACUCAGAAGAGUUGAGUCAUUAUUGACAUUGUGGUUCGGAACAGUGGUGUUGUAUCAAGAAAGAAAAGUUUAAAUUUCUAGGUACUUUUGUUGAAGGUUCCGAGCUUCGCGUCCCGGAUUGUUGGUUGUUC
Molecule: non-coding RNA, 529 nt
Organism: Prunus avium (sweet cherry)
Lineage: Eukaryota; Viridiplantae; Streptophyta; Magnoliopsida; Rosales; Rosaceae
Source: RefSeq, a predicted model, not a curated record